RNAcentral lists this long non-coding RNA (215 nucleotides) under Ananas comosus (pineapple). Its description in RNAcentral is "long non-coding RNA (ACOM_LNC026798)". The record is from RNAcentral. Lineage: Eukaryota; Viridiplantae; Streptophyta; Magnoliopsida; Poales; Bromeliaceae.
CAAAACAAGAAUCAAAUGAGGGAUUAAGAUUACUAACCUCACUAGAAGCUCCAAAUCAAGCUAGAGAUGAGCUAGGGUUGAAGAUCCUCCUUCAAACAAGCUCCAAUCAAAGCUUCAAUGCUUCUCUAAUGGUGGAAAGUCACCAAAAUGCAAAAAAGAACAAAAAGGAGAGAUUAAUCUCCAAAUCCCAAGCAAAAAGAGAAGGAAAAAUCAUG